RNAcentral lists this transfer RNA (71 nucleotides) under Bos taurus (domestic cattle). It matches the Rfam family "tRNA". From Rfam's summary of the family: Transfer RNA (tRNA) molecules are approximately 80 nucleotides in length. Lineage: Eukaryota; Metazoa; Chordata; Mammalia; Artiodactyla; Bovidae. RNAcentral also lists the same sequence under 4 other names. The record is from Rfam by way of RNAcentral.
UCCCAAGUGGCUCAAUGGUAAAGAAUCAGCCUGCAAUGCAGGAGACAUGGGUUCGAAUCCUUUGUUGGGAA